CCUACGGGAGGCAGCAGUGAGGAAUAUUGGUCAAUGGACGAGCGUCUGAACCAGCCAAGUAGCGUGAAGGAUGACUGCCCUAUGGGUUGUAAACUUCUUUUAUCUGGGAAUAAAAUGUUCCACGUGUGGGAUUUUGUAUGUACCAUAUGAAUAAGGAUCGGCUAACUCCGUGCCAGCAGCCGCCGUAAUACGGAGGAUCCGAGCGUUAUCCGGAUUUAUUGGGUUUAAAGGGAGCGUAGGUGGAUUGUUAAGUCAGUUGUGAAAGUUUGCGGCUCAACCGUAAAAUUGCAGUUGAAACUGGCAGUCGUGAGUACAGUAGAGGUGGGCGGAAUUCGUGGGGUAGCGGUGAAAUGCUUAGAUAUCACGAAGAACUCCGAUUGCGAAGGCAGCUCACUGGACUGCAACUGACACGGAGGCUCGAAAGUGUGGGUAUCAAACAGGAUUAGAUACCCGAGUAGUC
Molecule: ribosomal RNA, 460 nt
Filed under: uncultured bacterium
Lineage: Bacteria
Description: partial 16S ribosomal RNA
Rfam family: Bacterial small subunit ribosomal RNA
Source: RNAcentral